Molecule: ribosomal RNA, 581 nt
Filed under: uncultured bacterium
Lineage: Bacteria
Description: bacterial SSU rRNA
Rfam family: Bacterial small subunit ribosomal RNA
Source: RNAcentral
ACGGGAGGCAGCAGUAAGGAAUAUUGGACAAUGGAGGCAACUCUGAUCCAGCCAUGCCGCGUGAAGGAAGACGGCCUUAUGGGUUGUAAACUUCUUUUAUACAGGAAGAAACCUUUCCACGUGUGGAAAGUUGACGGUACUGUAAGAAUAAGGAUCGGCUAACUCCGUGCCAGCAGCCGCGGUAAUACGGAGGAUCCAAGCGUUAUCCGGAAUUAUUGGGUUUAAAGGGUCCGCAGGCUGUUUGUUAAGUCAGAGGUGAAAUCCUACCGCUCAACGGUAGAACUGCCUUUGAUACUGGCAAACUUGAGUUAUUGUGAAGUAGUUAGAAUGUGUAGUGUAGCGGUGAAAUGCAUAGAUAUUACACAGAAUACCGAUUGCGAAAGCAGAUUACUAACAAUAUACUGACGCUGAGGGACGAAAGCGUGGGUAGCGAACAGGAUUAGAUACCCUGGUAGUCCACGCCGUAAACGAUGGUCACUAGCUGUUCGAUGUACAUUGGUACGUUGAGUGGCUAAGCGAAAGUGAUAAGUGACCCACCUGGGGAGUACGCUCGCAAGAGUGAAACUCAAAUGAAUUGACGG